GGGCCCGUGGUCUAGGGGAAUGACGUCGCCUUGACGAGGCGGAGGUCAUGCGUUCGAAUCGCAUCGGGCCCA
Molecule: transfer RNA, 72 nt
Filed under: Candidatus Methanophagales archaeon
Lineage: Archaea; Methanobacteriati; Methanobacteriota; Methanomicrobia; Candidatus Methanophagales
Also listed under: 2 other names
Description: Methanophagales archaeon tRNA
Rfam family: tRNA
About the family: Transfer RNA (tRNA) molecules are approximately 80 nucleotides in length. Their secondary structure includes four short double-helical elements and three loops (D, anti-codon, and T loops).
Source: Rfam by way of RNAcentral